This 254-nucleotide ribosomal RNA is filed under the name uncultured bacterium. RNAcentral's name for it is "partial 16S ribosomal RNA". It matches the Rfam family "Bacterial small subunit ribosomal RNA", at positions 524 to 777 of the family's 1533-position model. The record is from RNAcentral.
UACGGAGGGGGCUAGCGUUGUUCGGAAUUACUGGGCGUAAAGGGCGCGUAGGCGGCCUUCUAAGUCGAACGUGAAAUCCCCGGGCUCAACCCGGGAACUGCGUCCGAUACUGGAAAGCUUGAAUCCGGGAGAGGGAUGCGGAAUUCCAGGUGUAGCGGUGAAAUGCGUAGAUAUCUGGAGGAACACCGGUGGCGAAGGCGGCAUCCUGGACCGGCAUUGACGCUGAGGCGCGAAAGCCAGGGGAGCAAAGCGGG